This 253-nucleotide ribosomal RNA is filed under the name uncultured bacterium. RNAcentral's name for it is "partial 16S ribosomal RNA". It matches the Rfam family "Bacterial small subunit ribosomal RNA", at positions 524 to 776 of the family's 1533-position model. The record is from RNAcentral.
AACGUAGGAGACGAACGUUAUCCGGAGUUACUGGGCGUAACGGGCGUGUAGGCGGUUUGUUAAGUCUGGCGUGAAAGCUCUCGGCUAAACCGGGAGAGGUCGUUGGAUACUGGCGAACUAGAGGAUGGUAGAGGCGUGUGGAAUUCCGGGUGUAGUGGUGAAAUGCGUAGAGAUCCGGAGGAACACCAGUGGCGAAGGCGACACGCUGGGCCAUACCUGACGCUGAGGUGCGAAAGCGUGGGGAGCAAACAGG